UACGUAGGGUGCAAGCGUUAUCCGGAAUUAUUGGGCGUAAAGAGCUCGUAGGCGGUUUGUCGCGUCUGCUGUGAAAAACUGGGGGCUCAACCCCCAGCCUGCAGUGGGUACGGGCAGACUAGAGUGCGGUAGGGGAGAUUGGAAUUCCUGGUGUAGCGGUGGAAUGCGCAGAUAUCAGGAGGAACACCGAUGGCGAAGGCAGAUCUCUGGGCCGUAACUGACGCUGAGGAGCGAAAGCAUGGGGAGCGAACAGG
Molecule: ribosomal RNA, 254 nt
Filed under: uncultured bacterium
Lineage: Bacteria
Description: partial 16S ribosomal RNA
Rfam family: Bacterial small subunit ribosomal RNA
Source: RNAcentral